This 406-nucleotide ribosomal RNA is filed under the name uncultured bacterium. Its description in RNAcentral is "partial 16S ribosomal RNA". It matches the Rfam family "Bacterial small subunit ribosomal RNA", at positions 30 to 526 of the family's 1533-position model. The record is from RNAcentral.
AUUGAACGCUGGCGGCAGGCCUAACACAUGCAAGUCGAACGAGUGGCGGACGGGUGAGUAAUGUCUGGGAAACUGCCCGAUGGAGGGGGAUAAAUACUGGAAAAGGUAGCUAAUACCGCAUACCAUCGGAUGUGCCCAGAUGGGAUUAGCUAGUAGGUGGGGUAACGGCUCCCCUAGGCGACGAUCCCUAGCUGGUCUGAGAGGCUGACCAGCCCCACUGCAACUGAGACACGGUCCAGACGCCUACGGGAGGCAGCAGUGGGGAAUAUUGCACAAUGGGCGCAAGCCUGAUGCAGCCAUGCCGCGUGUAUGAAGAAGUCCUUCGGGUUGUAAAGUACUUUCAGCGAGGAGGCGUUACUCGCAGAAGAAGCACCGGCUAACUCCGUGCCAGCAGCCGCGGUAAUAC